This 124-nucleotide small RNA is filed under the name Marmota monax (woodchuck). The record is from RNAcentral. Lineage: Eukaryota; Metazoa; Chordata; Mammalia; Rodentia; Sciuridae.
GCUGGGUGCGGUGGCACACACCUGUAAUUCCAGUGACUCGGGAGGCUGAGGCAGGAGGAUCGUGAGCUUAAAGUCAGCCUCACCAAGAUGAGGCACUAAGCAAUUCAGUGGGACCCUGUCUCUA